GACGAACGCUGGCGGCGUGCCUAAUACAUGCAAGUUGAGCGCUGAAGGUUGGUACUUGUACCGACUGGAUGAGCAGCGAACGGGUGAGUAACGCGUGGGGAAUCUGCCUUUGAGCGGGGGACAACAUUUGGAAACGAAUGCUAAUACCGCAUAAAAACUUUAAACACAAGUUUUAAGUUUGAAAGAUGCAAUUGCAUCACUCAAAGAUGAUCCCGCGUUGUAUUAGCUAGUUGGUGAGGUAAAGGCUCACCAAGGCGAUGAUACAUAGCCGACCUGAGAGGGUGAUCGGCCACAUUGGGGCUGAGACACGGCCCAAACUCCUACGGGAGGCAGCAGUAGGGAAUCUUCGGCAAUGGACGAAAGUCUGACCGAGCAACGCCGCGUGAGUGAAGAAGGUUUUCGGAUCGUAAAACUCUGUUGGUAGAGAAGAACGUUGGUGAGAGUGGAAAGCUCAUCAAGUGACGGUAACUACCCAGAAAGGGACGGCUAACUACGUG
RNAcentral lists this ribosomal RNA (497 nucleotides) under uncultured bacterium. Its description in RNAcentral is "partial 16S ribosomal RNA". It matches the Rfam family "Bacterial small subunit ribosomal RNA", at positions 28 to 507 of the family's 1533-position model. The record is from RNAcentral.